AGUGGGCUGAGCACGGCUUGCAUUUUAUAAGACACUGCAAAAAUGCCUUCUCCAUUGGUUUACCAGUUUUAUAUUUAUUAUUAAAGUUAAGCUUAGUUGAUUAAAAACAUAAAGACUGUAUGUAUCAGAAGGUGUUAGACUUCCAGGUGUUUGAGGGAACAUUUUGGAUUCUGUUUAAAAACACAGCUAUUAUAACAGUCUAACUCAGUAUCCACAAGAAUCAGGCCUCAACAACUAUGCAGAGUAAUGUGCCGUAAGUCCCAGUAUUUUGUUCCUAAGUAGGAAGUCAGCAUGGGAGAGAUAUGCAUGAACACCUGCUUAGCCAGUUCCACUCACAUAGCCAAGACAGGAAAUCACAUGAGAAGGAAAAUGGACGACAGAACAGGAGCUCACCCAGUCGCUCAGGUGCUCCGGGUCUAUGGAAGCAGAGGUAGACUCACUCAAGAUGCUGUAUUGUGGACUCAGUGCGAGUUCUGUUAAAUCUAUGGAAGCCAAGAGUGGACAUGAAGAAUUUCUACUUUGGAACAGCAUCUCCCAGCAGCUUCUACAGAGCAGAGAGCAGGCCUAAUGGGGGCAGCUGAAUGCAUGGAACUCCCCAGCAGACCCAAAGCCCCCUGCGUAGAUUCAUCUCUGAGCAGAACAGUGGGGAAGGCACAGGACACUCAAGGUCACAAAUGGUGUUGAGGCCUCUAGUCCAUGACUCUCUUUUUGUUGCUUUUCUUAUGUGCGAUUUGCGGUCAUUUAAAAACCACUUCUCUAACAUAUGACAAUGGAAUAAAACAGCUUUAAAAAUG
This 794-nucleotide long non-coding RNA is filed under the name Mus caroli (Ryukyu mouse). RNAcentral describes it as "lncRNA (MGP_CAROLIEiJ_G0005596.1)". Lineage: Eukaryota; Metazoa; Chordata; Mammalia; Rodentia; Muridae. The record is from RNAcentral.